Molecule: ribosomal RNA, 464 nt
Filed under: uncultured Klebsiella sp.
Lineage: Bacteria; Pseudomonadati; Pseudomonadota; Gammaproteobacteria; Enterobacterales; Enterobacteriaceae
Description: bacterial SSU rRNA
Rfam family: Bacterial small subunit ribosomal RNA
Source: RNAcentral
CUACGGGGGGCUGCAGUGUGGAAUAUUGCACAAUGGGCGCAAGCCUGAUGCAGCCAUGCCGCGUGUGUGAAGAAGGCCUUCGGGUUGUAAAGCACUUUCAGCGGGGAGGAAGGCGGUGAGGUUAAUAACCUCAUCGAUUGACGUUACCCGCAGAAGAAGCACCGGCUAACUCCGUGCCAGCAGCCGCGGUAAUACGGAGGGUGCAAGCGUUAAUCGGAAUUACUGGGCGUAAAGCGCACGCAGGCGGUCUGUCAAGUCGGAUGUGAAAUCCCCGGGCUCAACCUGGGAACUGCAUUCGAAACUGGCAGGCUAGAGUCUUGUAGAGGGGGGUAGAAUUCCAGGUGUAGCGGUGAAAUGCGUAGAGAUCUGGAGGAAUACCGGUGGCGAAGGCGGCCCCCUGGACAAAGACUGACGCUCAGGUGCGAAAGCGUGGGGAGCAAACAGGAUUAGAUACCCGGGUAGUC